AACGAACGCUGGCGGCAUGCUUAACACAUGCAAGUCGAACGAGACCUUCGGGCUUAGUGGCGCACGGGUGCGUACCGCGGGGGAACCUGCCCGUAGGUUCGGUACAAUUGCCUGAAAGGUGUGCUAAUACCGGUUAAUGUCAUACGACCAAAGAUCUAUCGCCUUUGGAUGGGCCCGCGUUGGAUUAGCUAGUUGGUAGGGUAAAAGCCGGUCAAGGCGACGAUCCAUGGCUGGUCUGAUAGGAUGCUUAGGCACACUGGGACUGCGACACGGCCCAGAGUCCUACGGGAGGCAGCAGUGGGGAAUAUUAGACAAUGGGCGAAAGCCUGAUCCAGCAAUGCCGCGUGAGUGAUGAAGGCCUUAGGGUUGUAAAGCUCUUUUACCCGGGAUGAUAAUGACAGUACCGGGAGAAUAAGCACCGGCUAACUCCGUG
This 433-nucleotide ribosomal RNA is filed under the name uncultured bacterium. RNAcentral's name for it is "partial 16S ribosomal RNA". It matches the Rfam family "Bacterial small subunit ribosomal RNA", at positions 29 to 507 of the family's 1533-position model. The record is from RNAcentral.